This 497-nucleotide ribosomal RNA is filed under the name uncultured bacterium. RNAcentral's name for it is "partial 16S ribosomal RNA". It matches the Rfam family "Bacterial small subunit ribosomal RNA", at positions 28 to 507 of the family's 1533-position model. The record is from RNAcentral.
GACGAACGCUGGCGGCGUGCCUAAUACAUGCAAGUUGAGCGCUGAAGGUUGGUACUUGUACCGACUGGAUGAGCAGCGAACGGGUGAGUAACGCGUGGGGAAUCUGCCUUUGAGCGGGGGACAACAUUUGGAAACGAAUGCUAAUACCGCAUAAAAACUUUAAACACAAGUUUUAAGUUUGAAAGAUGCAAUUGCACCACUCAAAGAUGAUCCCGCGUUGUAUUAGCUAGUUGGUGAGGUAAAGGCUCACCAAGGCGAUGAUACAUAGCCGACCUGAGAGGGUGAUCGGCCACAUUGGGACUGAGACACGGCCCAAACUCCUACGGGAGGCAGCAGUAGGGAAUCUUCGGCAAUGGACGAAAGUCUGACCGAGAAACGCCGCGUGAGUGAAGAAGGUUUUCGGAUCGUAAAACUCUGUUGGUAGAGAAGAACGUUGGUGAGAGUGGAAAGCUCAUCAAGUGACGGUAACUACCCAGAAAGGGACGGCUAACUACGUG